AAGUGUGGAUGGUAGUUCCAUGAUACUGGCUGAGUUUGCAAUAGCAGGUGGAACCCUAACUAUUGAGGGAGUUUGCAGAUACCUCAGGAUUCGUGACAAUGCCUUUAAAGAUCCAGGAGAGAUGUUCAGCUACUAGGAACUGCUAGCAAGCAUAGCGCGAAUGGCUCCGAGCUCAGACACUCUGCAGCUGAGAGUAGACACUUGUGGUAUGUGGAGUACAGAUAAGCCAGGGGCAGGCCACGGCACGCUCCAUGACAGCUAGGAGGGAGUGAAGUUUCAGUGACCAUCGCAAGGAAGGAGGCAGACAAGAGUAAGGCACACCUGACUCUUAGGACUAGCAGUCAGAACCAGGAGAAAAGGUUUUAUUGCUAUGCUGGUAGGUAAGAACAGAUUUUACUUCCAUCCAUAUAGUUAAAAUCCAGUUUUCUAUUAACAUUUUCCUUAAUCUAUUGAGCCAAAACUAGUCCAGUUAAGCUGAACUUGGUUUUUCUGGAGAUGGAUUGCUUUAAAUUGACACCCUAUUCUGGGUGACUCCUAAUUGAAGGAAGCGAGCACAUUAAUUACAUUAUUUCUACUGUGAUUUUGCCCUUUAAUUUUAUUUACCUUCCUUUGACCCAUUUCCUUAAAACAAUGGCUCAAAGUAAUGCAUUAGAAUCUCUUCCCCAAAUGGUGGGAGGGUGGGUGGACAUUAUUGGGAGGUGGGGGGUUUAGCUUGAGAUGGGACUUGGUCUUAGAAAAGAGUUACUUCUAAAGGUUCUUUACUUUUCUAGGGAGGAGUCUGCCACUAGAGUCUUACCAACUCAAAAAAACCAGAAACUCAUCUGUCCAAGUUAAUGACAAAAAGGAACAUUCUUGUGAGGACAGCCUUUAUCUGAGCCACUGUACUUCAUUCUCACUGCCAUGCAGUUGACAUGAGCUGCAUAGCAGCUCUAAUUCCAUUUUGUGAAUGGGUUUUUUAAUAAACGGUAUCUAUCUUA
Carlito syrichta (Philippine tarsier) is the source of this 977-nucleotide long non-coding RNA. RefSeq lists it as uncharacterized. The record is from RefSeq and is a predicted model, not a curated record. The transcript is spliced from 2 exons. Lineage: Eukaryota; Metazoa; Chordata; Mammalia; Primates; Tarsiidae.